AUGAACGCUAGCGACAGGCCUAACACAUGCAAGUCGAGGGCAGCACAAGGAGCAAUCUGAGGUGGCGACCGGCGCACGGGUGAGUAACACGUAUGCAACCUGCCUGUAAGCGGGGAAUAACCCGUUGAAAGACGGACUAAUACUGCAUAAUACUAAAUUACUGCAUGGUAAUUUAUUUAAACAUUUAUGGCUUACAGAUGGGCAUGCGCAUGAUUAGCUAGUUGGAGAGGUAACGGCUCCCCAAGGCAACGAUCAUUAGGGGUUCUGAGAGGAAGGUCCUCCACACUGGUACUGAGACACGGACCAGACUCCUACGGGAGGCAGCAGUGAGGAAUAUUGGUCAAUGGACGAGAGUCUGAACCAGCCAAGUCGCGUGCAGGAAGAAUGUUCCCUAUGGAUUGUAAACUGCUUUUGCAGGGGAAUAAAGUGCAUCACGUGUGAUGUUUUGUAUGUACUCUGCGAAUAAGGAUCGGCUAACUCCGUGCCAGCCGCUGC
RNAcentral lists this ribosomal RNA (495 nucleotides) under uncultured bacterium. RNAcentral's name for it is "bacterial SSU rRNA". It matches the Rfam family "Bacterial small subunit ribosomal RNA", at positions 29 to 518 of the family's 1533-position model. The record is from RNAcentral.